CUGGGAACCACUGCAGUUCCAUUUAAUGUGCAAGUGCAGGCAUUUGCUGCUGUUGAGAGGGAGGGUGUAAUUGCUCAGGCUGUGCAGGAAUCUGUUUCAGAUACUGAGAAUAUAGCAUACCAACUUCAAUCCCAACUGUGGCAGGGUCGACCGUUUGCUUCUGAGUUUACUGUUCCAAACAAUACAUUGAAUGGACAAGAGGAGCCAAUGAUUGAAACUGGAUCAGUUAGCCUCUCAAAUACAUAUUCUCAAGGGAUAUUGGAUACUUUGACCCAAGCUCUACGGUCUUCAGGUGUGGAUUUGACUCAGACAAACAUCUCAGUGCAAAUUGAUGUUGGCAAACAAGGAAAUAGGGGAGCAGCUAUUGAUGGCAUCAAGUUCAAAGGAUCAAGAAAAUGCGUAUUUUAACAAUCAAGUGAUGGAACAAAGUGAAGUUGAGAAUCUAAUGGAAGACUCUGAUCAGGCUCAUAAGAGACUGAGAACAGAAAAAAGCUAGUGUUUCAUUGUCGUUUAAAUUCAUCCAUCUGAUUUCUUCUUUCGGUUCCCAUUUUGGAAAUGGUGUGCUUUUCCAUUACGCCGAGGUCCUUGUACAUAUCUACUUGUCUAUGCUGUAUGCUUUGCCUGGUUGCUUGGGUGGAAUCUCCUUCAUUGGGCAGGGGAAAAUAAUAAAAGAGUUAUUUAUUCUUUUAUUGGUGGCUGUCGUUUCAUCCAGAGGCUUCCAUGCACAUAAAGAGAACUUGCUUUUGAUUAUGCUUUUCGAGGUAUGGCAGCACGGCCUGAAGGCUUCUAUUGGCUAUCGAAUCUCUCUUCGGGCAGCUAUUGUGGGCAAGUUUUGGUCCUUGGGUUUGUGUUGGGCAUUCCUACAAUUUUUU
Molecule: unclassified non-coding RNA, 872 nt
Filed under: Hevea brasiliensis (rubber tree)
Lineage: Eukaryota; Viridiplantae; Streptophyta; Magnoliopsida; Malpighiales; Euphorbiaceae
Source: RNAcentral